Molecule: long non-coding RNA, 3844 nt
Organism: Micropterus dolomieu (smallmouth bass)
Lineage: Eukaryota; Metazoa; Chordata; Actinopteri; Centrarchiformes; Centrarchidae
Exons: 4
Source: RefSeq, a predicted model, not a curated record
AUCAUAAAUGGAGUUUAAAUUUGAUUUGACCUGAUGAUGGCCCAUAAACAAUUCAUCCUGAUGAAUGUCUGUUUUAAAUGUAAUGGCAAUCCAUCCUACAGCUCACUCAAAACCACAAAUGUCAGCCUCAUUAUGGUGCUAGAGAAAAAGUCACGGGAUUCAUCAUCAGGGGACCAUGAACAUUCCUAAAAUUUAGUGCAAAUCCAUCAAGUAGAUGUUGAUAUAUUUUAUUGCGUAAGUGAAAACUUUGAUCUGCUAUUAGCGCAAGGGAAAGGUCAGGGGAUCACCAAAGUUAUUAUGAUUCAUCCUCUGGGGACCAUGAAUGGCUUGAAAAAAUAUCAUAACAAUUUAUUCACCUUUGAUAAUUUUUCCCGAGAGCAUCUACCAGAAGCAACUGUGUUGUACAGCACAGGUACGCUGAAUUUGGCCAGUCAGUUUUCUCCAUUAGAGCUGCAAACAUUUGUAACACAGUACUCAGCACUAUCAGACAAUGCUCAACUCUCUCUAGUUUUAAAUCUUAAUUGUAAGUAAGUAAGUAAUUUUUUUGUAUGAUGUAACAUUUUAAGUGGAAAGUGCUUUAAGUUUUGAAUGAUGCAACGUUCGUUCUCGGUAUCUCUGUUUCAACUUUAACAUAAUAAGCCAUAAUUCCUUUAUUGAUUUGCCUGCCCAGGGACUGCUUGUGAAAUUUAGAUAUUUAGCUAAAUCUUGGUUGUAAUAAACAAACAAAUUUUAAAAAAUAAGCAAACCAGAAGCCUUAAUUUAGUUUAGUUAGUAAAGUUUUCCAGUUUUAUCACUAAGACACUGUGCCCAAGUUGAGUGUCUUUAUAUUGCUGCACACAUUCUGUUAUGCUCUGUUUACUGUCAAUCACCAAACACCCACAAGAAGAAAGGCAAGCCUCUGCCAGGAAAUAAUCCCUCAAGAACGUGUCGCCUUACAAACUUUAGAGUCUUUGUUAGCUGGAAAAGUGGAAAAUGUGAAAAAGCUUAGUGUAAUAUUUCAUGAAGGCCAAAAAGGCGAAAUUGAUGAGGCAGGUGUCUGGAAAAAAUGUUGCUUUGAGGAAAAUCAUCUUUAUCAUGAGUUGCUGUUGCUCUUCAUCGUAUUAACUCUGUUGGAGUGGCUCAGAGAACGAGAAUGCAAGAGCUCUUGUGAUUAACUAGGUUGCAUUACUGAGUAGUGAGGUAGAACGUCCGUUUAUCCUCAAGGGCAAGGCUGGGGUCGUCAGGUGCAGCCAUGUGUUAAAUCUGACAAGCCACGAGAAGGAAACCUGCUCUGGACAAAAACAAGAGCUCGACUCGUAAAACCAUCUUUCUGUCUUCUCAUAUAUGGAGAGACCUGCAGUUGUGUCAAGGCACAGAAACACAAGCAAUUGGCACAAGUCUGCGUCAUUAGACUGUACUAUAAGCUUUCAUGGUUCAGCGGGCAGAGGAAGGGUUGAGCAGAGACCACGCUAAGUAUGUCUUUGAAUGCUGUUGAGUGGUUCUAAAACGUCUAAAAGCAGGUCAAAGGGAAGUACGUAAAAGUAUAUCUUCUCUUUUGUUGUUCAGUGGAACCAAUAAAAGGUUAAACUAAAACCUGGUCCGAGAGGUCGUUGUCAUGCCCAGUGUCUUCUAUUGUCAAUAUUAUUCUGAUUUGUAACUUUUCUUGUUUUUAAUUCUUUUUUUUACAUCAUGUAAUUGCAUUGUCAAGUUUUUGUGCAGUUAUCAUUUAAAGUUAUCAUGUCAUUCCUUUUUGUGAUAUGUUGAUAUUACAGUAAAAGAAACAAAUAUAUAGAGCUGUAGUUGGCAUGUAACUCUAUGUAUACAUGUGCACUUGCAAACAUAUCUGUGCAUACUGUUUCCAUGCAUGCAUAUGUAUAUAUGUGUGGUGUACUUUAUUUAUUUUACGCAUUGUUUUCAUCUGUCUGUUAAACUGCAUAUGAUUGUGUAGCAUAUACGUUGGAUUACAGAAGAUAAGGUUUUGACUCAAGGAGGUGUUGAAAAGGCAAAUAAUGAGACUGAGGCCGAUAAUUAUAUUUGGUGUUGGUACCAUAUAUUAUGUGGAAACAAGGACAAAAAAAACCAACAAUAACAAUACAAUACAAAAUAUUUACAAUCUGCAGAAACGUUGGUUUUGAUUAAGUGCACUUGAGGAAAUUCAGUUCUGUUGACUCAGUAGUUCACAGAAACAAUAAACAAAAUACAGCAAUCAAAUUGAGGAGUACUCAAUUCCCAAUUCCAGCAGAUAUUCGACACACCGCGGCACCAGUCGGCUUCUAAAGACCACGGUAGCGGGCACGAGUGCAGCUGCUCCGGUGGCUUCCCCCUCACACUCCUGAUUGGGGAAACUCACCUCAGCUUGUAAAACGCGCUCGAGCGCUAUGAUAGGUUGAAAGCGUUGCUCUGAAACUACCAUGUGAUUCAAGGGUGUGUCUGGUGGUGUUACAAUUGCAAGACUAAGCGUUUACAGCCUCACUGUUGGCUCUGUGAGGCUGUACUUGCUGUAAAUGCUAAGAUCCGCAUGCUAACAUGCUCACAAUGUCACGAUGCUAAAAUGCCGAUAGUAUGUCUACCAUGUUCACCGUCUUAGCGUAGUGUGUUACCAAGCUAGCAUUUGCUAAUUAGCGCCAAAAAUAAGUGCAGCUGAGGUUGAAGAGCGUGUCAUUAGUUUUGCAGGCAUAUGCUCAUAAACUAAAGUAUUUUUAAGGUAAAUAAAAAUGUUUAGCUUAAGUUGGGGCUACAUGAAAAGUUAAGGGAUCACCAUAGUUGUUGCAAUUAAUCUUAAAGGGGGCCUUGAAAGUUUGUGUAAAAUGGCAUGGCAAUCCAUCCCGUUGCAAUUGCCAUUUGCAUUGCCUCUGGCACGGCUGAAAAGGCAUGACAUCCAGUGUUUCGGGGUCCCUGUUGUGAUUAAAUUAAUUAUUUCUGUGGGAUUGCCAUGGAAAUCACUGCGGCCUAUAGGUCACAUUUCACUUUUCAAAGGUGGAGUGGACCUGGAUGCAAAGGUCAGCUGUCAGAAAGCCUUUAUCCUCUCAAACCAACUGGUGGCCUGUUUGACCGUGACUGACUGCAGCGGACUACACCAAGACUUGAACUGUAUGUGCUGCUUAAAAACAGACCACUGAAGAGUGUUUCAGGCAGAGAUGUGAUCUAUCCACACCCAAAUCCACGAGGCUGGGGCACAGAUGGGAGUGCCACCCAAAGGGGCCUCAGACAUGAGGCACCAAUUUGGCAACCCCUGGUGGGAAGGCGCAGGACUGGCAACCCACCGAAUCCAAGAUGGGGACUACCACACCCAGAGUUAUCUUUUCAGGCAUCGCCUUUGCUCAGUUAUUGCACUUUUUAAAUGGUGGUGAUAGUUGGGCAGAAUCUUCAUGAGGAAGUCGAGCUGCAGAGUCUGAGGCUGCGAAACAAAGAAAGUGAAAACGACUCCGUCUGUCCGUGCACAAAAGGCGACAAAACCUCUGAGCAGCGGCGGAGACUCACCUGGGGCUUUUCGCUCUGCACGCGCCUGAUGCAGUUUGAGCCGUACACGACAGUGUUCUCCAGCACGACCUCACACGUGUUGACCUGGCAGCACGCGCCAAUGAUGCAUCCACCGGUCAGGAUCACAUUUCUCCCAAGAUCAGCUGGGAUUGAACGAAGCAAAAAAGGUGUAUUUUUAUUACACUGUAUAAAUAUGGAAAACAGGGUUGGGGAACAUGAUGAUAUUCACUGUCGGAUGAUACAAAUGGAUCAAAUUUGCAAUACUCUUUACAUCGGUAUCCAUCCCUUUAUUUCUCUGGGUAAUUUAGAUGAUGCGCAAUGUUGCAAAUCAAUGAGGUCAUGGUGUACCUUCAUUAGGGUAUUAAAUUAGCUGUGUUAUCCAAUA